GGACAUAGCUCAGUGGCAGAGCUUCUGCCUUGCAUACAGAAGGUGCUAGGUUCAAUCCCUGGUAUCUCCA
This is a non-coding RNA of Podarcis lilfordi (Lilford's wall lizard), 70 nucleotides long. The record is from the annotation of a GenBank genome assembly. NCBI's taxonomy places the organism in Eukaryota, Metazoa, Chordata, Lepidosauria, Squamata, Lacertidae.